UCGCAUUCACCCGCACCGCCGACUUCCUCGCCGAGCUCCAGUCCUACGUCCGCGACGACGACGGCGCCGUCAUCCUCAAGAUGGUCGGCGGGCUCGGCACCGCCAUCUUCGUCCUCGAGUGGGCCGCCCUCGCGCUCGCCUUCUCCCUGCGCCUCGACGACGCCGAGGACGACGAUGGCGACGACGACCUCCGCCGCGCCAAGAACUGGGCCGACGCCUACCAUGUCUGAGCGGCGAGCCUCCGCGCUUCCUGCAUCUUCGCCCGGUGUGGGGAGCGGCGCCUCCAUCCAAGAUGUUGUCGAUUUGGUGUUAUUGCUGUUGCUAUUCUUUUGUGCUACUAGUACUGUGAUAUCACAUUCUUUUGUACUAUGAUAUGAUGUCAAGGCAAAUGUAUAUUGCUUUUGACCCCAUUUAAUCGAAGAAAUAUAUUUAUAUUGCUUUGGAUUUGGGUACUUGAUUUAUGCAGCCAAUUCAGUACUACAACCUGGGAAAACU
Molecule: long non-coding RNA, 495 nt
Filed under: Triticum aestivum (bread wheat)
Lineage: Eukaryota; Viridiplantae; Streptophyta; Magnoliopsida; Poales; Poaceae
Description: long non-coding RNA (TAES_LNC000626)
Source: RNAcentral